CCCUUAGAUGCUCUGGGCCGCACGCGCGCUACACUGGUCGAUGCAACGAGUUUCUUUCCUUGGCCGACAGGCCUGGGCAAUCUUUGAACAUCGAUCGUGAUCGGGAUAGAUUCUUGUAAUUUUUGAUCUUAAACGAGGAAUUCCUAGUAAACGCAAGUCAUCAGCUUGCAUUGAUUACGUCCCUGCCCUUUGUACACCCCGCCCGUCGCACCUACCGAUUGAAUGGUCCGGUGAAAUCUCCGGACUGGCGUGAGUCGGAGCAAUCUGACAAACGCCGGAAAGUUGAUUAAACCUUACCAUUUAGAGGAAGGUGAAGUCGUAACA
RNAcentral lists this ribosomal RNA (324 nucleotides) under uncultured eukaryote. RNAcentral describes it as "partial 18S ribosomal RNA". It matches the Rfam family "Eukaryotic small subunit ribosomal RNA", at positions 1470 to 1796 of the family's 1831-position model. The record is from RNAcentral.